This 468-nucleotide ribosomal RNA is filed under the name uncultured bacterium. RNAcentral describes it as "partial 16S ribosomal RNA". It matches the Rfam family "Bacterial small subunit ribosomal RNA", at positions 28 to 507 of the family's 1533-position model. The record is from RNAcentral.
GACGAACGCUGGCGGCGUGCUUAACACAUGCAAGUCGAACGGAAAGACCCUGCUUUUGUGGGGUGCUCGAGUGGCGAACGGGUGAGUAACACGUGAGUAACCUGCCCUUGACUUUGGGAUAACUUCAGGAAACUGGGGCUAAUACCGGAUAGGAGCUCCUGCUGCAUGGUGGGGGUUGGAAAGUUUCGGCGGUUGGGGAUGGACUCGCGGCUUAUCAGCUUGUUGGUGGGGUAGUGGCUUACCAAGGCUUUGACGGGUAGCCGGCCUGAGAGGGUGACCGGCGACAUUGGGACUGAGGUACGGCCCAGACUCCUACGGGAGGCUGCAGUGGGGAAUAUUGCACAAUGGGCGGAAGCCUGAUGCAGCAACGCCGCGUGCGGGAUGACGGCCUUCGGGUUGUAAACCGCUUUCGCCUGUGACGAAGCGUGAGUGACGGUAAUGGGUAAAGAAGCACCGGCUAACUACGUG